UACAGAGGGGGCAAGCGUUAUUCGGAAUUAUUGGGCGUAAAGAGCGUGUAGGCGGCCUUACAGGUCAGCUGUGAAAACUCGAGGCUCAACCUCGAGACGUCGGUUGAAACCGUAAGGCUAGAGUCCGGAAGAGGAGAGUGGAAUUCCCGGUGUAGCGGUGAAAUGCGCAGAUAUCGGGAAGAACACCCGUGGCGAAGGCGGCUCUCUGGGACGGUACUGACGCUGAGACGCGAAAGCGUGGGGAGCGAACAGG
RNAcentral lists this ribosomal RNA (253 nucleotides) under uncultured bacterium. RNAcentral's name for it is "partial 16S ribosomal RNA". It matches the Rfam family "Bacterial small subunit ribosomal RNA", at positions 524 to 776 of the family's 1533-position model. The record is from RNAcentral.